Pristionchus pacificus is the source of this 82-nucleotide non-coding RNA. Lineage: Eukaryota; Metazoa; Nematoda; Chromadorea; Rhabditida; Neodiplogasteridae. The record is from Rfam.
GCAGCGAUGUCCGAGUGGUUAAGGAGUUAGACUUGAAAUCUAAUGGGCAUUGCCCGCGUAGGUUCGAACCCUGCUCGCUGCG